Molecule: ribosomal RNA, 119 nt
Filed under: Carassius auratus (goldfish)
Lineage: Eukaryota; Metazoa; Chordata; Actinopteri; Cypriniformes; Cyprinidae
Source: RNAcentral
GCUUACGGCCAUACCAACCUGGCUAUGCCCGAUCUCGUCUGCUCUCGGAAGCUAAGCAGGUUUGGGCCUGGUUAGUACUUGGAUGGGAGACCGCCUGGGAAUACCAGGUGCUGUAAUCU